RNAcentral lists this ribosomal RNA (1350 nucleotides) under uncultured bacterium. RNAcentral describes it as "partial 16S ribosomal RNA". It matches the Rfam family "Bacterial small subunit ribosomal RNA", at positions 28 to 1381 of the family's 1533-position model. The record is from RNAcentral.
GACGAACGCUGGCGGCGUGCUUAACACAUGCAAGUCGAACGAUGAAGCUACAGCUUGCUGUGGUGGAUUAGUGGCGAACGGGUGAGUAAUACGUGAGUAACCUGCCCUUGUCUUUGGGAUAAGCCUGGGAAACUGGGUCUAAUACCGGAUAUUCUGCUUUCAUCGCAUGGUGGGGGUUGGAAAGGGUUUCUGGAUAGGGAUGGGCUCACGGCCUAUCAGCUUGUUGGUGGGGUGAUGGCCUACCAAGGCGUCGACGGGUAGCCGGCCUGAGAGGGUGACCGGCCACAUUGGGACUGAGAUACGGCCCAGACUCCUACGGGAGGCAGCAGUGGGGAAUAUUGCACAAUGGACGCAAGUCUGAUGCAGCGACGCCGCGUGGGGGAUGAAGGCUUUCGGGUUGUAAACUCCUUUCAGUACAGAACAAGGCCUUUUUGGUUGAGGGUAUGUGCAGAAGAAGCGCCGGCUAACUACGUGCCAGCAGCCGCGGUAAUACGUAGGGUGCGAGCGUUGUCCGGAAUUACUGGGCGUAAAGGGCUCGUAGGUGGUUUGUCGCGUCGUCUGUGAAAUUCCGGGGCUUAACUCCGGGCGUGCAGGCGAUACGGGCAUAACUUGAGUACUGUAGGGGUAACUGGAAUUCCUGGUGUAGCGGUGAAAUGCGCAGAUAUCAGGAGGAACACCGAUGGCGAAGGCAGGUUACUGGGCAGUUACUGACGCUGAGGAGCGAAAGCAUGGGUAGCGAACAGGAUUAGAUACCCUGGUAGUCCAUGCCGUAAACGGUGGGCGCUAGGUGUGAGGGUCUUUUCACGACUUUCGUGCCGUAGCUAACGCAUUAAGCGCCCCGCCUGGGGAGUACGGCCGCAAGGCUAAAACUCAAAGGAAUUGACGGGGGCCCGCACAAGCGGCGGAGCAUGUGGAUUAAUUCGAUGCAACGCGAAGAACCUUACCUGGGCUUGACAUACACCAGAUCGCUGCAGAGAUGUAGUUUCCCUUUGUGGCUGGUGUACAGGUGGUGCAUGGUUGUCGUCAGCUCGUGUCGUGAGAUGUUGGGUUAAGUCCCGCAACGAGCGCAACCCUUACAUUUAGUUACUAACAGGUUAAGCUGAGGACUCUAGAUGGACUGCCGAUGACAAAUCGGAGGAAGGUGGGGAUGACGUCAAAUCAUCAUGCCCUUUAUGUCCUGGGCUACACACGUGCUACAAUGGUCGGUACAAAGAGAAGCUAAAUAGCGAUAUCAAGCAAACCUCAAAAAACCGAUCCCAGUUCGGAUUGAUCUCUGCAACUCGAGAUCAUGAAGCCGGAGUUGCUAGUAAUCGCAGAUCAGAAUGCUGCGGUGAAUGCGUUCCCGGGUCU